Molecule: ribosomal RNA, 394 nt
Filed under: uncultured bacterium
Lineage: Bacteria
Description: partial 16S ribosomal RNA
Rfam family: Bacterial small subunit ribosomal RNA
Source: RNAcentral
CCUACGGGUGGCAGCAGUGAGGAAUAUUGGUCAAUGGACGCAAGUCUGAACCAGCCAUGCCGCGUGCAGGAAGACGGCUCUAUGAGUUGUAAACUGCUUUUGUACGAGGGUAAACGCAGAUACGCGUAUCUGUCUGAAAGUAUCGUACGAAUCCGGAUCGGCUAACUCCGUGCCAGCAGCCGCGGUAAUCCGGAGGAUUCAAGCGUUAUCCGGAUUUAUUGGGUUUAAAGGGUGCGUAGGCGGUCGGAGAAGUUAGAGGUGAAAGCCCGAGGCUCAACUUCGGAAUUGACUCUGAUACUGGGCGGAUAGAGAGUAGGAGCGGGAGGCGGAAUGUAUGGUGUAGCGGUGAAAUGCUUAGAGAUCAUACAGAACACCGGUGGCGAAGGCAGCUUAC